RNAcentral lists this ribosomal RNA (662 nucleotides) under uncultured Dolichospermum sp. Its description in RNAcentral is "bacterial SSU rRNA". It matches the Rfam family "Bacterial small subunit ribosomal RNA", at positions 99 to 794 of the family's 1533-position model. Lineage: Bacteria; Bacillati; Cyanobacteriota; Cyanophyceae; Nostocales; Aphanizomenonaceae. The record is from RNAcentral.
CGGACGGGUGAGUAACGCGUGAGAAUCUACCUUCAGGUUCGGGACAACCACUGGAAACGGUGGCUAAUACCGAAUGUGCCGAGAGGUGAAAGGCUUGCUGCCUGAAGAAGAGCUUGCGUCUGAUUAGCUAGUUGGUGUGGUAAAGGCGCACCAAGGCGACGAUCAGUAGCUGGUCUGAGAGGAUGAUCAGCCACACUGGGACUGAGACACGGCCCAGACUCCUACGGGAGGCAGCAGUGGGGAAUUUUCCGCAAUGGGCGAAAGCCUGACGGAGCAAUACCGCGUGAGGGAGGAAGGCUCUUGGGUUGUAAACCUCUUUUCUCAGGGAAGAAAAAAAUGACGGUACCUGAGGAAUAAGCAUCGGCUAACUCCGUGCCAGCAGCCGCGGUAAUACGGAGGAUGCAAGCGUUAUCCGGAAUGAUUGGGCGUAAAGGGUCCGCAGGUGGCAUUGUUUGUCUGCUGUUAAAGAGUUUGGCUCAACCAGAUCAAAGCAGUGGAAACUACAAAGCUAGAGUAUGGUCGGGGCAGAGGGAAUUCCUGGUGUAGCGGUGAAAUGCGUAUAUAUCAGGAAGAACACCGGUGGCGAAGGCGCUCUGCUAGGCCAAAACUGACACUGAGGGACGAAAGCUAGGGGAGCGAAUGGGAUUAGAUACCCCUGUAGU